GACUCGUUAAAAGUUGAAAACGCGGCGGCGAUGAAUUGAGAACGCGGUUCAAAAUUAUAGGAAGCAAAGGACUCGUUAAAAGUUGACAAGCUUUUACGUAUUCCAGUGAAAGAACUCAUAAACUCACAUUUUAAAGAAUCCCAAGAUGCACUGCCUUCUCAGCAAUGGUGGUUUCUGGGUUCGGCUUGUAGCUUGCUUACUACUCCUCUUGUGGCCUCUGCUGAUAGAAGCAAGAAUUUCAAGUUUCUCAGCUAUUGAAGGGAGACUAAUGCACGGCCGGAGUACAAGGGAAAUUCCUCCUCAAAAUAUAUAUCCUCCAGCAGCAAAUCCCCAACGUGGCCACGGCUAAAACGGUCUCAGCAUGCCUUUCACUCCAUCAACCUGACUCUCAUAUCAGUUACUGAAUUAAACUGUUAUUUCUCUUCUUAAUUAUUUCAUGAUAUGAAAAUCUCAGAUUACAAUAUUAUUGGUGAUUUUUUUUUUUUUUAACAACAGAAUUGAGGAAUAGGAACUAGAAAUUGAAUUUGCCCUACUUAUAAUGUUUCAACUCUCUUCUAUAUAUUGUAGUUUCGAAUAUACAAUAUUUGACAUUAACUUAUUUCUAUUUUAUCUA
Long non-coding RNA from Hevea brasiliensis (rubber tree), 613 nucleotides. RefSeq lists it as uncharacterized. Lineage: Eukaryota; Viridiplantae; Streptophyta; Magnoliopsida; Malpighiales; Euphorbiaceae. The transcript has 2 exons. The record is from RefSeq and is a predicted model, not a curated record.